GACGAACGCUGGCGGCGUGCCUAAUACAUGCAAGUCGAACGCUGAAGGAGGAGCUUGCUUCUCUGGAUGAGUUGCGAACGGGUGAGUAACGCGUAGGUAACCUGCCUGGUAGCGGGGGAUAACUAUUGGAAACGAUAGCUAAUACCGCAUAAUAGCAGUUAUUGCAUGAUAACUGUUUGAAAGGUGCAAUUGCACCACUACCAGAUGGACCUGCGUUGUAUUAGCUAGUUGGUGGGGUAACGGCUCACCAAGGCGACGAUACAUAGCCGACCUGAGAGGGUGAUCGGCCACACUGGGACUGAGACACGGCCCAGACUCCUACGGGAGGCAGCAGUAGGGAAUCUUCGGCAAUGGACGGAAGUCUGACCGAGCAACGCCGCGUGAGUGAAGAAGGGUUUCGGAUCGUAAAGCUCUGUUGUAAGAGAAGAACGAGUGUGAGAGUGGAAAGUUCACACUGUGACGGUAUCUUACCAGAAAGAGACGGCUAACUACGUG
RNAcentral lists this ribosomal RNA (495 nucleotides) under uncultured bacterium. Its description in RNAcentral is "partial 16S ribosomal RNA". It matches the Rfam family "Bacterial small subunit ribosomal RNA", at positions 28 to 507 of the family's 1533-position model. The record is from RNAcentral.